UAGUUGCGACUUUAAACGAUGCCAACUGGCGGUUCGGCGAAGUCUCUCUGACGACUCGCUGAGCAGCCCCCGGGAAACCAAAGUCUUUCGGUUCCGGGGGAAGUACGGUUGCAAAGCUGAAACUUAAAGGAAUUGACGGAAGGGCACCACCAGGAGUGGAGCAUGCGGCUUAAUUUGACUCAACGCGGGAAAGUUCACCCGUCCCGGACACUGUCAGGAUUGACAGAUCAAGAGCUCUUUCUUGAUUCAGUGGAUAGUGGUGCAUGGCCGUUCUUAGUUGGUGGAGCGAUUUGUCUGGCCAAUCCCGAUAACGAACGAGACUCUGGCCUACUAACUAGUGACGGCGUGGUCUUUUCGCCGAGCACUUCUUAGAGGGACCAGCGGCGGUACAAAGCCGCACGAGAAAGAGCAAUAACAGGUCUGUGAUGCCCUUAGAUGGGCGGGGCUGCACGCGUGCUACACUGAUGGCAUCAACGUGCGUCCAAGCCUGACCUGUGAAGGUCAGGAAAUCGAUUGAAAUGUCCGUCGUGACUGGGAUAGGGAAUUGCAAUUAUUUCCCUUGAACGCGGAAUUCCCAGUAAGCGUGAGUCAUUAGCUUGCGUUGACUACGUCCCUGCCCUUUGUACACACCGCCCGUCGCUACUACCGAUUGGAUGAUUUAGUGAGGCCUCUGGACUGACGUUGUUAUUGUCCUGCGACUUUGUUUUGCGGGGCUGUAACGUUGGAAAAUUGGCCGAACCAAUUCAUCUAGAGGAAGUAAAAGUCGUAACAAGGUUUCCGUAGGUGAACCUGCGGAAGGAUCAUUA
This 806-nucleotide ribosomal RNA is filed under the name Eucoleus aerophilus. Its description in RNAcentral is "bacterial SSU rRNA". It matches the Rfam family "Eukaryotic small subunit ribosomal RNA", at positions 1021 to 1831 of the family's 1831-position model. Lineage: Eukaryota; Metazoa; Nematoda; Enoplea; Trichinellida; Capillariidae. The record is from RNAcentral.